UAAUACGGAGGGUGCAAGCAUUGAUCGGAAUUACUGGGCGUAAAGGGCGCGUAGGCGGCUGAGAAAGUCAGAUGUGAAAUUCCGGGGCUCAACCCCGGAGCUGCAUUUGAAACUUCUCAGCUAGAGGAUGGUUAGGGAAAACGGAAUUCCACGUGUAGCGGUGAAAUGCGUAGAUAUGUGGAAGAACACCGGUGGUGAAGACGGUUUUCUGGGCCAAACCUGACGCUGAGGCGCGAAAGCUAGGGGAGCAAACAGG
This 256-nucleotide ribosomal RNA is filed under the name uncultured bacterium. Its description in RNAcentral is "partial 16S ribosomal RNA". It matches the Rfam family "Bacterial small subunit ribosomal RNA", at positions 521 to 776 of the family's 1533-position model. The record is from RNAcentral.